UGUGGGUUAGUGUAAUAGUAACAUAUCUGGCUCAUGACCAGAUGAUCUAGGUGCAAUUCCUAGACCCACGUAA
This 73-nucleotide transfer RNA is filed under the name Ascosphaera apis ARSEF 7405. Its description in RNAcentral is "tRNA-Met (CAT) (tRNA-Met-CAT-3-1)". It matches the Rfam family "tRNA". From Rfam's summary of the family: Transfer RNA (tRNA) molecules are approximately 80 nucleotides in length. Their secondary structure includes four short double-helical elements and three loops (D, anti-codon, and T loops). Lineage: Eukaryota; Fungi; Ascomycota; Eurotiomycetes; Onygenales; Ascosphaeraceae. The record is from RNAcentral.